UGGGAUCUUGUGACAUUACUCACUUUUGUGUGAAUUUAAUUGCAUUGUUAGGGUCCCCCACAGAUGUGAUCUUCUUGUUACUGUGGUUUAAAUUUGGUAUGGCAGAAUAUAAAACUCCCCUAUUCUCCUCUAAGCCGUGUGUAUAGGUCUCUCCCCUUCCUCUUAAAUGUAGCAGAGGCCCCUAAAUGUGCUAUAAAUCACUUCUCAUAUGAUGCUGUUAGUACAUACUCUUCUUCUUACAAAAGACAGCAAGAAACACAGGGAUCCUGUUCAGCAUUUUCGCAUGCGGAAAAAGUGAGGCUGGUGCUUUCACUGAGUCCCUGUGACCAAACAAAGUGUUGACAUGAUCGUUAGAGUUGGUACUGUUGGGCUAGAGAUGUUUUCUCUUCCCAACUUCUGAAUGUAUGAUAGCAACUGCUGACCCUGGCAGAAGGGAAAGGAAAUGACGUAUCUAUACGUCACAUCCGUCAUCAUCGCAGCCAUAAUGGCGGCCUUUUUCUUAAUCGUGGUGCGAAUCAUUGUCCUGUACGAUCUUCCAGUGCUGUCUGCCCCAAACAAAGGCUGUGAAGUUUGUUCUAAUUAUACUGACUUGCUGGUGACAGAAAGAUCCUCUGGGCAUGUCCCCCUCAACAUCUCCAAAGUGUCUUUCAAUGUGGAAAAAUGGAACACGUCCACUUCUCGAUGGGAUGAAGUAAUCAUCUCUGUUACUGGGAAUUCAAAGUCUCUCAACAGCCCCAUCAGAGAGCAGGUCUCUGUGUGUGGGGGAUAUUUCAAUCUGAAAAAUGUGAGCAAAGCAGCUGGGGGAUAUUAUAAGGUGAUACUGGUGCUGUCUGGAAAGUGUGUGGCCUGUAUACAUCUGAGAGUGCUGGAGCCCACCUUAUCCCCACCUCCUAUAGCACAAACCCACAGAGUGAGUGAGGAACCUACCAAUAAGAGUGGAAAGGAGGGAUUGAAGGCUUGGAAAUGGACCAUUCCUGUUGGGCUCUUCGCUAUGGUGCUGAUGAUGUUCUGAUAACAGAGGUUCAUUAUCUUUAGAGCAGGGCAAAAUUAUGGCUACCAAUAAAGAUCUGUGUGUGCCAUGAGCCUGAAGUCUC
RNAcentral lists this long non-coding RNA (1094 nucleotides) under Chrysemys picta bellii (western painted turtle). Its description in RNAcentral is "lncRNA (ENSCPBG00000017902.1)". The record is from RNAcentral. Lineage: Eukaryota; Metazoa; Chordata; Testudines; Emydidae.